Molecule: ribosomal RNA, 440 nt
Filed under: uncultured bacterium
Lineage: Bacteria
Description: partial 16S ribosomal RNA
Rfam family: Bacterial small subunit ribosomal RNA
Source: RNAcentral
CCUACGGGUGGCUGCAGUAGGGAAUAUUGCUCAAUGGGGGAAACCCUGAAGCAGCAACGCCGCGUGAGGGAUGAAGGUUUUCGGAAUGUAAAAUCCUUUUGUUAGGGAAGCAAAUGACGGCACCUGACGAAUAAGCCCCGGCUAACUACGUGCCCGCCGCCGCCGUAAUCAGGAGGGGGCAAGCGUAAUUCGGAAUAACGGGGCGUAAGGGGCGCGUAGGCGGGAUAAGAAGUCUGGUGUGAAAUCCUAUGGCUUAACCAUAGAACUGCAUUUGAAACUGGUCUUCUAGAGUGUGGGAGAGGUAGGUGGAAUGCUGGGUGUAGCGGUAAAAUGCGUAGAGAUUAAGAAGAAUACUCAUUGCGAAGGCGACCUGCUGGACCGUAACUGACGCUGAUGCGCGAAAGCGUGGGGAGCAAACAGGAGUAGAUACCCCGGUAGUC